AUGGCGAGCAGCAGCAGCAGCCUGGCCGGUCUGCUGCUCACCGCCGUGCUGUGCCUGCAGCUGCCGGUCCACAGCCGCGCGCAGCUGCGCGUGGGGUUCUACAACACCACCUGCCCCAACGCCGAGGCCAUCGUCCGGCAGGCCGUCACGGCCGCCUUCGCCACCAACUCCGGCGUCGCCGCCGGCCUCAUCCGCCUCCACUUUCACGACUGCUUCGUCGAGGGCUGUGAUUCCUCGGUGCUCCUGUCCGUCAACCCCGGCGGAGGCACGCCGGAGCGUGACGCCGCGCCGAACAACCCGAGCCUGCGUGGCUUUGCGCUCGUCGACGCCGCCAGGGCCGCACUGGAGCAGAGCUGCCCGCGCACGGUGUCGUGCGCCGACAUCCUGGCCUUCGCCGCCCGGGACAGCGUGAACAUCACCGGCAGCAACGCCUUCUACCAGGUCCCUUCCGGCCGCCGCGACGGGAACCUCUCGACCGAGGCCGGCGCGUUCACCCUCCCGGGGCCGAACCUGACGGCGGACGGCCUCGUCAGCGGGUUCCGGGACAGGGGCCUCACCGCGGAGGACAUGGUGGUCCUGUCCGGCUCCCACACCCUGGGCCGCUCCCACUGCAACUCCUUCAUCGUGAGGAACCGGGAGCGGCUGGCGAGCGGCACGAUCAGCCCGGCGUACCAGGCGCUGCUGGAGGCGCUGUGCCCGGCGAACACGAGCCAGUUCACCAACGUGACGACGGAGAUCGACCUGAGCACGCCGGUGGUGCUGGACAACAACUACUACAAGCUGGUGCAGCUCAACCUGGGCCUGCACUUCUCCGACGACCAGCUCAUCCGCAACGCCACCCUCAAGGGCUUCGUGGACGCCUUCGCCGCCAACGAGACGCUGUGGAAGGAGAAGUUCAUCGCCGCCAUGAUCAAGAUGGGCAACAUCGCCCCCAAGACCGGCACGCAGGGGGAGAUCCGCCUCAACUGCAGCAUCGUCAACCCGUCCUCCUCUUCUUCGUCCGGUUACGCAGGGGUGAUCGAGAUGCUCCGCCGCCCGGGCUCCGACGAUAAGCUCGCCAUGGGCUGA
RNAcentral lists this ribosomal RNA (1068 nucleotides) under Triticum aestivum (bread wheat). Its description in RNAcentral is "partial small subunit ribosomal RNA". The record is from RNAcentral. Lineage: Eukaryota; Viridiplantae; Streptophyta; Magnoliopsida; Poales; Poaceae.